RNAcentral lists this unclassified non-coding RNA (1464 nucleotides) under Hevea brasiliensis (rubber tree). Lineage: Eukaryota; Viridiplantae; Streptophyta; Magnoliopsida; Malpighiales; Euphorbiaceae. The record is from RNAcentral.
UUGGCACUAACGAGGGCUUUAUUCAAUUGAAAUUCUAUAUGUACCAUAUAUACAAACCGAAAAAAAUUCAAUAAAAUGCAAUACUUAAACACAUUUUUACCAAUUUCAACUCCAUAAACUCCUAAUUUUCCUCUGUAAUUUGCUCCAACAAUCAGUUAAUAACAACAGCAUUUUUCAAAUAUACCCACAAGGAAAUAACAAUAAUAAUAAUAAGCAUCUCGAAUUUUGGAAAUUCCAGAAAAGAAAAAAAAUAAUUAAAACUCACCAUAAAUUAAGAAAAAAAAGAGUGACAAACUCCCAAUUGUUUUCCCGUAAGAACUCCCAAUCAUUUCUGCACUUGAACCCAGCUUUAUACGCUUCUUGGGAUUGACUUGAGUUCCUUGAUCGCUGAUAUUCACAGGGGCUCCCACCAUGAUCCUAUGCCUCUUAGUCUUCCAUACCAUGAUCUUGUACCUCACCGAAGUCUCCAUAUCCACCUGGAAAAUCGCUGACCCAUUAGAAAUCGCCCGCAAAACCGCUGCCAAGUCAAGUCCACUGGCGUUAAAAUCACCGCCCUUCGUUGCCUUCUUCUUAUGCCCUUGAUAAAACUUUGGGAUGGUGAAAUUCCCUAUAGAAUGAUUCCGGUUUGGGUUGUCAAAAAAUGUUACGUUUACUGGAUCGUAGUAGACUCCCUUGUCUUUGUUGGUGUUCUCCAGUCUGAGCUCAAAGAAAAGAGUGGUGUUUCCUGGAGGAUUUAGGGUCUUGUCAAGUGCUGGAAUGUAAAUUCGUUGGAGUAAACAUUUGGGGCUCGAGGUACGCAGGCUUAGCCACAUGAACAGAGCUGUUAGGCCUAGAGUGAAUAUGAAGCUGCAACAGCACCUGCAGCAACCACCACCGGAAUCCGGCAUGGUUUUCCGGUGGAUCCCUUAAAAGAUUCUAAUCAGAGAAAGCGAAGAAGAUCAAGCGUAUGCAGGAUUAGAAUUUAGAUUGGUUGCUGAGACCUAAGCUGUUUCCCUGCUCCGUUCCCUUUUAUAAAAGAAAGAAGACGACGACGACGACGAAGACUACUCGAGUGUCCUUGGUUUUGUAUCUUCAUUUUCAUGCUUUUGUGGGUAAGGAUAAAGCUACAGGUGGUUGUGCCUCGGCUUUCCAUUCUGGCCAAUGGUAAUUUACUUUGGUGAGGAAAUGCAGCUGUUUGACUACACAGACCAAUGACGUAAGGGUGUAGACCAGGGCAACAAGUACCCAUUGCCUCCUGGAAUUUGGAACUCCCAAUGAGCGUUGCCAAAGGGCUCUAGGUCAAGCCUGAUCUUUACGAAUAGAUCAGAGCCCUGCUUAGAAGCUAUAGCUUAACCUCCCCUGAGCCAGACGACAUGUGGGCCAAAUCCAAAAGAAAAGCCACGCACCCACCCUUCAAUUUAUUUUGUCGUUUUGUUUACCCUUUCGUUCAAUUUCCAUUUUCCACUUUCCUGGCUGCAACUCAAA